UACGUAGGUGGCAAGCGUUGUCCGGAUUUACUGGGCGUAAAGGGCGUGCAGGCGGUUUGUUAAGUACAGGGUGAAAGCCCCCGGCUCAACUGGGGAGGGUCACGCGAUACUGUUCGACUCGAAGGCAGGAGAGGGAAGUGGAAUUCCCGGUGUAGUGGUGAAAUGCGUAGAUAUCGGGAGGAACACCAGUGGCGAAGGCGGGUUACUGGGCUGAUACUGACGCUGAUGCGCGAAAGCCAGGGGAGCAAACGGG
This 253-nucleotide ribosomal RNA is filed under the name uncultured bacterium. Its description in RNAcentral is "partial 16S ribosomal RNA". It matches the Rfam family "Bacterial small subunit ribosomal RNA", at positions 524 to 776 of the family's 1533-position model. The record is from RNAcentral.